UCCCCAAAUCUAUGCUAAGUGGAAAAGGAUGUGGAGUUGCGUAGACAACUAGGACGUUGGCUCAGAAGCAGCCAUCAUUCAAAGAGUGCGUAAUAGCUCACUAGUCGAGUGGCGCUGCGCCGAAAAUUUACCGGGGCUAAGCAUAGUACCGAAACUGUGGAUGUGUUUUAAAGAGCACGUGGUAGGAGAGCGUUCUAAGUGCGGCGAAGUCAGAUCGAGAGGACUGAUGGAGCGCUUAGAAGUGAGAAUGCCGGUAUGAGUAGCGAAAGAUAGGUGAGAAUCCUAUCCGCCGAAAGACUAAGGUUUCCUGGGGCAGGCUCGUCCGCCCAGGGUAAGUCGGGACCUAAGACGAGGCCGAGAGGCGUAGUCGAUGGACAACAGGUAGAUAUUCCUGUACUGCGUUUAAUCGUUAUGAGCGAAGGAGGGACGCAGGAGGCUAAGCACGCAUGGCGCCGGAAGCCAUGUUUAAGCGUCAAGCCAGAGAGUGAGUCAAAUGCUUGCUCUUGAUGAAGGCAAGGCGCGACGAGGAGCGAACUAAAGUAGCGAAGGUGCUGAUGUCACACUGCCAAGAAAAGCUUCUAGCCAGAGAGAACGUACCCGUACCGCAAACCGACACAGGUAGUCGAGUGGAGAACACUAAGGUGAGCGAGAGAACUCUCGUUAAGGAACUCGGCAAAAUGACCCCGUAACUUCGGGAGAAGGGGUGCUGAUAGUAAAAUAUCAGCCGCAGUGAAUAGGCCCAAACAACUGUUUAUCAAAAACACAGGUAUCUGCAAAAUCGUAAGAUGACGUAUAGGUGCUGACACCUGCCCGGUGCUGGAAGGUUAAGAGGAGAGCUUAGCGCAAGCGAAGGUUUGAAUUGAAGCCCCAGUAAACGGCGGCCGUAACUAUAACGGUCCUAAGGUAGCGAAAUUCCUUGUCGGGUAAGUUCCGACCUGCACGAAAGGUGUAAUGAUUUGGGCACUGUCUCAACGAGAGACUCGGUGAAAUUAUAAUACCCGUGAAGAUGCGGGUUACCCGCGACAGGACGGAAAGACCCCAUGGAGCUUUACUGUAGCUUGAUAUUGAGUAUUUGUUAAACAUGUACAGGAUAGGUAGGAGCCAGAGAAAGUAGGACGCUAGUCUUACCGGAGGCAAUGUUGGGAUACUACCCUUGUUUGAUGGAUCCUCUAACUCACAGAGCUGAGCGUUCUGGAGGACAGUGUCAGGUGGGCAGUUUGACUGGGGCGGUCGCCUCCUAAAGUGUAACGGAGGCGCCCAAAGGUUCCCUCAGAAUGGUUGGAAAUCAUUCGCAGAGUGUAAAGGCAUAAGGGAGCUUGACUGCGAGACCUACAAGUCGAGCAGGGACGAAAGUCGGGCUUAGUGAUCCGGUGGUUCCGCAUGGAAGGGCCAUCGCUCAACGGAUAAAAGCUACCCUGGGGAUAACAGGCUUAUCUCCCCCAAGAGUUCACAUCGACGGGGAGGUUUGGCACCUCGAUGUCGGCUCAUCGCAUCCUGGGGCUGUAGUCGGUCCCAAGGGUUGGGCUGUUCGCCCAUUAAAGCGGCACGCGAGCUGGGUUCAGAACGUCGUGAGACAGUUCGGUCCCUAUCCGUCGUGGGCGUAGGAAAUUUGAGAGGAGCUGUCCUUAGUACGAGAGGACCGGGAUGGACAUACCGCUGGUGUACCAGUUGUCUUGCCAAAGGCAUCGCUGGGUAGCUAUGUAUGGAAGGGAUAAGCGCUGAAAGCAUCUAAGUGCGAAGCCCCCCUCAAGAUGAGAUUUC
RNAcentral lists this ribosomal RNA (1761 nucleotides) under mouse gut metagenome. Its description in RNAcentral is "bacterial LSU rRNA". It matches the Rfam family "Bacterial large subunit ribosomal RNA", at positions 1045 to 2813 of the family's 2925-position model. The record is from RNAcentral.